This is a non-coding RNA of Lolium perenne, 2770 nucleotides long. The record is from RefSeq and is a predicted model, not a curated record. Lineage: Eukaryota; Viridiplantae; Streptophyta; Magnoliopsida; Poales; Poaceae.
CUGGAAUUGUAUUAAAUCAUUUGGUUUGCAAUCUAUCAUCCAUCUUUCUGUUACAUUCAUUUCUGUCUUUCCAUGUGCUUUUGGUCGUCUGCGUGUGUUGACUACAGGAUAUAGCUAGGAGUUGGAUUGCCCCUAGGAAAAAAAAUUACUCUCUGCGUGGAGCCAGGUCAGUGUUUCAUGGAUGGUCUGUUAGGUUCAUUUUGUGUCCGCAUCAGUGAGUUGGCUGCAGGACUGGAUCUGGUCCAGAACUUGAGCUCCGUACAGCAAAGGGGACUUGCGAAGGUCAGUUUCCAAUGCUCUCUAUGGCGAAGGUGAUGGUUGUGAUGAGAUGAAUGGAACGGUUGAGGUUUGCUUUCUGUUCGUGGUUAUCUUUAUUGGUUAUGACUCGGUGCUUAUUUGAUAUGGUUGGAACUUGUGAGCUGCUGGAUUGGAUUGCUGAUCAUGGGAUGGAACUAGAGAAGUUACAUAUUACGUUGGGAUAAUCAGUCCUUCUGAAUUUAAUUUCCUUCUCAAUUCAGUGUACUCCAAUUCCAGUUCUGAAAUGGAUUGUUGGUUCUCCAGAUAUUGGACUUGCACAACUUAGCGAAGAUGCCCUAUUUUGCUUCAUCAUGUUAUCGGUGGUUCCUUUUUGUGACUUGAAUAAACUUUAUCGACUUCCUUUGAUAAUUAACUUCCUAGUUAUGGCUUUCCCUCCCUUCAUCGUAAUUAUGUGCUCUCGCAGAUAUGGAAAAGGAGUAUAUCAUUCUGGAACCAAGGGCUGUUGUCUAUCUCCCAGCCGAGCAAGCUAAUCAUAUCCCCUAAUUCAAUAUUUGAUGCAUGAACAGCAAAUCUACAGUAAUGUCUUAGGACAAAUCUGAUGCUGUGUUACAUUUGUUUGGAUCUUCUGAAUCUAGUACCUUAUCAAUUCGCAACAACUUGUUAAACGUAUAAAAUUAUCCAAGUAUCUCACGGAGAGGCAAUAUUUGGACAUUCAGAUUGAUUUGUGGAGGUACACUGAUUCUGAGGAUGCUUUGGAGCUUCAGUUAGAUGGCACAUCUUACAAGAGAAACUCGGUGCUCUCUAUUUACAUCUUUUGAACUCUUAUUUUGAGCAAACUCAUGUUUUCUCUCAGUUGCUUCUUGCUUUGAUUGGGGGUUUCGCUUCCUCCUCGUGUUUGCAGAUUGUGCUGAUAGUUGCUCGGAAUCUGUAAUAUUGUUCGGUUUGCAAUCUAUCUUGAUAUGGUUGAAUUUGUUAUCUGUAUGCUUCAUCCCAGUGCUUGAACAUGUCAUUUGCAGUAUAUGUUUUGGAUUGUUGGGGCCUGCUGUAGUUAAAAUCCCCCUGUAUGUGGAGUCAGGUCUGUUUGUUUUAUUGGUUUGGCUCACCCCAUCAGCUUCAGUGAUCUUCCAGAUUUGAAUUUCUCUCUGCAAAAUUUGCUUUAGUCCAUUCUCCUAUGACAAAUCAUUGUAAUUCAAGGUGCGUUUGGAACCCUGGAUUGUUUGUGUUAUGUGCAUAUGCUCCUCUAGCUAUAUGACUGGUGGUGGUGAUUGCAUUUAAGGGUAUAGGUUUGGUUAUAAGUUAAUGCUCAUUCUUUAGAUAAUGUCAUAAUUUUAUGAUGUUAAUUUAUUGGUUUUGGGUCUACCCUGAUCGGAAUAGUCAGUCAGACCUGCAUAGUUGAGGAUUUGAAGGUGUCAUGAAGCUUGGCAGGACUGUAGAUCACAUAACUGGAAGAAGUCUGCAAUGCUUUGUUCGGAUAUUUUCUUCCUUUGAAGAUCCUUUCUUUAAUACGUAUUGCUCUUAUGUUUGAUUUCAUCCUAAAGCACAUUUCACAGUAAAUGAUAGAAGGGUACUUGUGGAUGUCGAUCUGAUAUGCAGUAUGAAAGAACGGUAGGCCCAACAGUUUUUUCACACUUUAUGUCAUUUAUUCCAGUUGAGAGUUCAUAUAUCUGACUUUUGAGGUAUAGGGUUAUAUAUUUAGGCUUCUCAUUGAUUUGCAGUGUUGGAGAUUCUUGGUGCAAGGAGUGUUGGAAGGUCUAGCAAAACGUUGGCUAAUGGGGGUAUUUUUGUGAAGCUUCAGUCAAGCCAUCAACUGUGUCUUCUUUUCCAACUGUUCUGACUUCUAAUGAAAAAAUCUUGACGCGUAUUGUUACUUGAUUUGGUCUUGUGCGGCAGCUUACAGUUUCAACUUUCAACUUGCAUUCAGUGGCCUCAUCUCUUCGGUACAGCUUGCAGUCUUUAGUUGCGUGCACAUCUGGAUCUUCUGAUGAGUAAUUUUGAAGCUUAUUAUUGGUCUCUGUUGUGUUCCAACUUUGUUUGGAUGGAAUCUGUUCUCAUCCUUUUUUUGUGGACAUAGGGGAUGCGAGAAGUCUUGAUUACUAUGUUACAUGUUCGUUUCUGGAAGUUGGGUUUCAUGACAAUGUCUAAGUUUUAUCAAAGCACUCAGAUGUGUUUUAUCUAGCAGUAGGUAGCAGAUUUAUGACCUGAUAGGAAGUAGAACAUGCAUGUACAUGAGGCUCUGAAGGCAGUAAAAUAUCCUUACAGUUUUAUAUAUUUGAAUUAUUUUGAGAUCAUGUCUGGAUUUGCUAGUUUUAUUGUUAUUCGUGAUCACAAUUGGUUUGUCCACUUACUAUUUUCCUGGUCAGUUCAAUUAAGCCAAGUCACAUCUAAUCAAUUUCUGGUAUGCGUGGAUAUUGAAUUUCGACAAACAAAGAUCCACCUAAUCUGCUGUCUAUCUCCAUUUGUAUAUUAAAAUAUAUCAAUUAAUUCAAAGACCCCUCCUAACUUAAGUGGGUAA